GUGCCAGCAGCCGCGGUAAUACCGGCAGCCCAAGUGAUGGCCACUCUUAUUGGGCCUAAAGCGUCCGUAGCCGGCCACGCAAGUCCGUCGGGAAAUCCAGUAGCUCAACUACUGGGCGUCCGGCGGAAACUGUUCGGCUUGGGGCCGGAGGACCCGAGGGGUACGUCCGGGGUAGGAGUGAAAUCCUGUAAUCCUGGACGGACCGCCGAUGGCGAAAGCACGUUGGGAAGACGAAUCCGACAGUGAGGGACGAAAGCUAGGGUCUCGAACCGGAUUAGAUACCCUGGUAGUCC
Molecule: ribosomal RNA, 293 nt
Filed under: uncultured bacterium
Lineage: Bacteria
Description: partial 16S ribosomal RNA
Rfam family: Archaeal small subunit ribosomal RNA
Source: RNAcentral